UUUUGGGCAGGUGGGUCGCUGUUGCUUACCAGGAAUGAGAGGGCAAGGUGGUGAGGAGGCUGGCAUGGUGCAAAUGCACCAGAAGGAGCAUGAGAUUGGCUCUGCCAGUGUGUUUGCACUGUGCCAACCUCCCCACAGCCUUGCCCCUCCCCUUCUUGGUAAGCUGUAGUGACCCACCUUCUGGGA
This 186-nucleotide microRNA precursor is filed under the name Podarcis lilfordi (Lilford's wall lizard). The record is from RNAcentral. Lineage: Eukaryota; Metazoa; Chordata; Lepidosauria; Squamata; Lacertidae.